RNAcentral lists this ribosomal RNA (253 nucleotides) under uncultured bacterium. Its description in RNAcentral is "partial 16S ribosomal RNA". It matches the Rfam family "Bacterial small subunit ribosomal RNA", at positions 524 to 776 of the family's 1533-position model. The record is from RNAcentral.
UACGGGGGGAGCAAGCGUUGUUCGGAUUUACUGGGCGUAAAGGGCGCGUAGGCGGCGCAACAAGUCACUUGUGAAAUCUCCGGGCUUAACCCGGAGCGGCCAAGUGAUACUGUCGUGCUAGAGUGCGGAAGGGGCUACUGGAAUUCUCGGUGUAGCGGUGAAAUGCGCAGAUAUCGGGAGGAACACCAGUAGCGAAGGCGGCUCGCUGGGCCGUUCCUGACGCUGAGACGCGAAAGCGUGGGGAGCGAACAGG